UGUCGUCAGCUCGUGUUGUGAAAUGUUGGGUUAAGUCCCGCAACGAGCGCAACCCUUAUCCUUUGUUGCCAGCGGUCCGGCCGGGAACUCAAAGGAGACUGCCAGUGAUAAACUGGAGGAAGGUGGGGAUGACGUCAAGUCAUCAUGGCCCUUACGACCAGGGCUACACACGUGCUACAAUGGCGCAUACAAAGAGAAGCGACCUCGCGAGAGCAAGCGGACCUCAUAAAGUGCGUCGUAGUCCGGAUUGGAGUCUGCAACUCGACUCCAUGAAGUCGGAAUCGCUAGUAAUCGUGGAUCAGAAUGCCAC
Molecule: ribosomal RNA, 310 nt
Filed under: Escherichia coli
Lineage: Bacteria; Pseudomonadati; Pseudomonadota; Gammaproteobacteria; Enterobacterales; Enterobacteriaceae
Also listed under: 1 other name
Description: bacterial SSU rRNA
Rfam family: Bacterial small subunit ribosomal RNA
Source: RNAcentral